Molecule: ribosomal RNA, 433 nt
Filed under: uncultured bacterium
Lineage: Bacteria
Description: partial 16S ribosomal RNA
Rfam family: Bacterial small subunit ribosomal RNA
Source: RNAcentral
AACGAACGCUGGCGGCAUGCCUAACACAUGCAAGUCGAACGAGACCUUCGGGCCUAGUGGCGCACGGGUGCGUAACGCGUGGGAACCUGCCCUUAGGUUCGGAAUAACUCCCCGAAAGGGGUGCUAAUACCGGAUAAUGUCUUCGGACCAAAGAUUUAUCGCCUUUGGAUGGGCCCGCGUUGGAUUAGCUAGUUGGUAGGGUAAAAGCCUACCAAGGCGACGAUCCAUAGCUGGUCUGAGAGGAUGAUCAGCCACACUGGGACUGAGACACGGCCCAGACUCCUACGGGAGGCAGCAGUGGGGAAUAUUGGACAAUGGGCGAAAGCCUGAUCCAGCAAUGCCGCGUGAGUGAGGAAGGCCUUAGGGUUGUAAAGCUCUUUUACCCGGGAUGAUAAUGACAGUACCGGGAGAAUAAGCUCCGGCUAACUCCGUG